Molecule: unclassified non-coding RNA, 3467 nt
Filed under: Hevea brasiliensis (rubber tree)
Lineage: Eukaryota; Viridiplantae; Streptophyta; Magnoliopsida; Malpighiales; Euphorbiaceae
Source: RNAcentral
GUGAAUCUAAAAUAAUUUCAUCUCAAACACAUUUCUACAAGCGAAUAAUAGGUAAACAACUAUCCAAGUACCCAACCUAAAGGUACAAUAAUGCUUAAAUUUAAUUAUCAUCCGCAUAUCACCAAAAUACGAGGAAAAUAAUUGAAGGGAAAAACAGAAGCUAUCAUAAAUGAGCAACUCAAUAACCCAUAUUAAUACAAACUUGAUACUAAUUAACGGAGCCUAGCCAGCCUGAGAAUGAGCUGGCCUUACUGCCUUAUAAUAAUAAUAAUAAUUUAAGUAAAUAUAUAGAAGGGAAUACAAUCAUUAGUGGAAAAGAAUGUGACCUCGAGCUGAAGUCAUUAAAGAGUUCCAAUCGGACAUAUAUAUCAUAUGCUCCUGCAUAUAUAGUUUAGCCUAAGCAAAGCAGCCAACAAGAAAACAGGACUCAAAAACUUUUCUCUUCAUUCAUUUCUCCAGAGCUAGCCAGAUGUCAGGCCAGGCUUCUCUGCCUUAAAUGAUAAACAGUGAACAGUGUCUCGCUAGCUUAGAGAGGUCGCGUGCUCCGACCACUUGCUUUACCACAAAGAAGUGCAUUCUUUGGAAUGGGAAAUUCAUCUCUAAGUGAAGUUGAUGUUGUGUAAACUCUCAAAUAUAGCUGCUGGCCGAGGUAUUGACGAGCCCAGAAUUCUGACCUUAUGUUCCACAUGCCUACGUUGUCAAGUGGCACGUAAAUAGCAGUCCAUGACUUGGGAUAUACCUGCACUCACCAUUCAUCAAUCACUACCCGUAAAUGAGAAAGGACAGCAAAUGAAUUUCAUUUAUGAUUAUUGAAAGGAGGUUUUGUCUCACUUGUGUGGUGCAUCGUGCAACUGCAUCACGGAGAUUGUAUUGGUUCCUGCUAUUUGUUGUCCACUGUCCUCCAUCCAUACUGCAUUUCGAGAUAUUUGCUUGUCAAACCCAAAUUGAAGCAAGGGUCUUGGAGAACAAACACCAUGUAGAUUAAUUAUGUGCUUACCCAACAACAAAGAAACUGUAACCAUUAAGAUGCCAGCUCUGGACGAUGUUUUCAUUGUUCUCGAAUACAAUUUCUACAAAUGCUCUAUAAUCUACUGUCAAAACUGAUGUGUCAAGAUAAAUUCCACCUCCAUAAGGUUUGUCUGAUAUGCUGUUCUCGCGGAAAACUCCCUGAAUUUUGAAGUAGUCUGCAAGCUUUAGUGGGGUGUCUGGUGCGACAAAGGACACACUGUUCACUGCAUAUCUCUGCUUUCCAUUGACUUGGCCAGCAGAACUUGCGAGCCUGAUAGUUCUGGUUGUGUUAAUCAUACCAUAGUGGUAUGAGCCUUGUGGAUUUGGUCUUGGUCCACUUGCAGUAAGAUUGGUUCUAAUUGAGCGGGCCUGGUUAAGAGACCAGUCAAUUUGAAUGGUGGGUCCACCAGGGGGUGGACCAGAGACACGGCCAGCAGAGUUACUGUAGUGAAGAACACCCGUGGUGGUAAGGAUCGGAGUAGUGAAGCGAGAGGAAACCACAAUGUAGUAGUCCAGGCCAGGCUGAUCAGCUGUUACUAGAACAGAGUAAGAUUGGCCAACAUGAACGUCAAGUGAAGAGUAGGUGGUCUGGAGAGUAUGUGUUCCCUCCACUUCUACCAACUUCAUUUUAUGGUUCUGAAUGCGAAAGUUGAGUGAAUGUUGCAACCCAACAUUUGAUAUUCUGAGCCUGUAAGUUUUUCCUUGUUCAACAGUAAGUGCAUAACCAUUGGGCCCGCGACCAUUGAUGAGAAUUCCAUCAGGGAAAGGCAGCUUCUUACCACGAUCCAAAUGAGCCCUCAAAGCCGUGUGAUUAGACUUGUACCAAUCUCCAAUAAGAAUGGUGUAAUCGCCAUCGGGAUCUGGGAAGGGGACUGGAAUUUGCGGGCGACUAAGGAUUCUGAUUCCUCCAAAACCACCAGCAGCCUUGUGGAAUCCAAGAGAUGGGAAGUAAUAGAAACUCCCUAUUUGGUCCUUGACUUGAAGAAUGUAUGUGAAGUUCCUUCCUGGAGGAAUUGGGCAUGUGGUUCCGUAAACACCAUCCUCAAAUGAGUUUCUCCUAUUUUGAAUUCCAUUCCUAUUUAAAUCACAGACAAAUAUUUCUAAAUUAUAAACAGAUCAUUUGAUAUGACCCAAUAACUGAAUAAGCAAAGUUUACUUUAUUAUGGUUGUUGAGAGUAUGGAUGGCUGGCUGCCCUGCCUACUUAUCCAUUACUUGCCUUUGUUAGUACUGCAAUGUAAUAAGCAACUUGAGUUCAUUAAACUCUCAACUGAAAGGUACCCAUUAGUUAAAGCGCUUGAAUGAAAGAAAGGGUCUCAAGAUUAAAUCUCAAGACUAUUAAUUUCUGUAGUUAUGGCCUAUCCAAGGUGGAAGACAGCUAAAACUGAAAUAGACAGCAGAAUUAAUUCGAUGGUCUAACAACAGCAAGCAUAUCUUCAGUUGUCUCAUUUAAUCAUGAAAAAGUCGUUUUAUACAUUUAAACAAAUCUUAGCUCUCCCUUAAAUCUUAGUCCAUACGUAAGCGAUAACGACAUACGAGUGUGACCGCAAGGAGAAGCGAAUAACAGAGUCCGCAUUAAAAGAGAAAGCAUACACCCCAUCAAUGGCGCCAUAUAUUUGCGGGAAUAUAAAAUGGAGAGAAAGACCCAGAAUUCCAGAUCUAUAAUACUACUAAUAUAAGCAUUCACUGACUCAUAUGAGCUUAAAAAGCUUUCAAUUUUUCUAAAGAAAAAGAAAGUAUAGCAUAUGUUCGAAACAAAAAGAAGGAAAUGUGAACCAGACGUUCUCUUGAUAUACUGGAAUUACUUGUAUAUCCUCGCAUAGUGAGCACAAGAAACUAGGAAUAAGUGGGUAGGUUUGUCUUUUGGACGAAGGGCGCGCAAAUGAUUGCGCGUAUUCUAUUGUUCUUUGUAGAUGGGGAAAGUUCACGGGAAAAAAAGAGAGAGACAGGACUGCGAAAGAAGAGAUUUUACCAGGAGAGAAGAAAAGGCUCAUCCAAGCUGUUGAACACAUUGAUAAUAAGAUUGUCAUUUGUAACUGAGUGAAUAUCAGGGCCCGGAAAUUGUCCAUUGAUAAGAAUACCCCUUUGGCGAAGACCGAGUGGGUAAAUGUCUCCAUAAGUAACAUUCCAGUUGAAGAACCUGUACGGAUCAUCAGCUCCAACAAUGGCAAAAAGAUAGACGGCGACACAUAACAAAGUGCAAACAGCACUUGUUCCCGCUAAGCUUAGCGGCAUUGUUACCAACAGGAACCCUUUAAUUAGGCUCAGAGGACAGGAAGGGAGAAAAAAAAAAUGAAGAAUGGAGUGUGAGGUUCAGGCACUUGGAUGGGGAGAAGAAGCAAGUGAAUGAUGAGCUGAUGAGGAAUGGCGUGGCGCAAUAUUUAAGUGCGGCACAGAGGAUGUGUCUGCCUGACUUUGUGUAAUGUGUUAAAAAUUUAGCCGAAAAGUAAAGAGGGCAAAA